UUUGCAUGUGAAUGAUUGUCGAGUGCUUUCUCGCUGCGCGGUUUGCCGAGUGCGUUGUGCCGAUGAGAUUCAAGUGUUUGUAAUUGCGCAGAAUCCGGGGUUUCCUCUCAUUGUGAAGGUACACUGCACUUAGCAAAAACCUUCGGAGACGUCACACAGGACAAUCCUUACAUCCUCCCAAAACUGGUAAUUAUGCCUUGUUUGGGAGUUCGCACAUGCAACAAAAAUGGUCUCACCCCAUUCCCCUGGAUACGUACAGCAAUACCCCUGCACCUCCAUGAAGUAGGGAGGAGCUACUCGCAUAUAUAAACUCGAGAGAAGACCCAGAACAUCAACUAAGCAACAGGACAAGAAGCUCACAGCUCAGAGAAGGUUUACUUGCUUCGGCCUAAAUCGAUUAGAAAAAACCAGCCUUAUCCACAAUGAAGACCUACAUUUUGUCUCUUCUGUUGGUGGCUAUGACCUGCUAUUUCUAUGCCGAGGCAUUGCCGGCUCCUGAAUCCUUAACCAAAUCCACGACCGAGAUCCCCAUCGACUCAUCAGUAGUAAACACACCUUCUCCAAGGAGUCCACAAGCCAUCCAAAUAUCAAAAUGGGUGCGGUCCAUGCUCUGGGGGCUCUGGUGACACUAUAAUCAUCCAGAAUCGUUGCUGCGGAGGUUAGGGUGGACUAUUACUCCUCAACGACGUCUGGUCAUCCCGAGUUAUUAAAGAGUUAAACGCGAGGGAUAACGGACUUUGAUCAAUGGCUUCAGUGACACUCGCUCUUGUAAUGGCAAUGAUUUUUCUGACGGAAGAACUAUACGAAAUUCUUAUCCUGUAAGGAGUCCAGUUUUAUGCACGUUGAAGCACUUAAAUCACAUACCUUGGUUUUGCCUCACUUUUCUUACAACUAUAAAUUUAAAAGUAGUAAUGUCACUAUACAUUCAUUUCUUGUAGUGUUGCACAAAAACAUGAUUUUGAUUUUCCUUGUGCAUUGUCAGUUCUCAUUUAAUA
Molecule: long non-coding RNA, 995 nt
Organism: Macrobrachium nipponense
Lineage: Eukaryota; Metazoa; Arthropoda; Malacostraca; Decapoda; Palaemonidae
Exons: 4
Source: RefSeq, a predicted model, not a curated record